Molecule: non-coding RNA, 289 nt
Organism: Coregonus clupeaformis (lake whitefish)
Lineage: Eukaryota; Metazoa; Chordata; Actinopteri; Salmoniformes; Salmonidae
Source: RefSeq, a predicted model, not a curated record
UAUUUGUAACCUUGUGAAACAGCCUCUUGCAAGGACAAUUGCUUGUGGCGAAACACGGUUACAUAAAGUAAAACAAGGAAGCUAAGGCGUGACUUCUGGAGGUUGAGGAGUUCCACGUGCGAUGUUCCUUGGACAGAUUGUCUUCGGAGAGCCCUGCUUUCCACGGUGGUGACGGACCUUCAUGUACCCUCACCUUUCUUGAAGCAGGAAGAAAAAGCAUUGUGCGGUAACCAGACAUUGUUUGAAAGGGGAAGGGUUUCCUGUCGAACACUGUGGAGUUGCCACAUUC